This 513-nucleotide ribosomal RNA is filed under the name uncultured bacterium. RNAcentral's name for it is "bacterial SSU rRNA". It matches the Rfam family "Bacterial small subunit ribosomal RNA", at positions 29 to 518 of the family's 1533-position model. The record is from RNAcentral.
AAUGAACGCUGGCGGCGUGCUUCAGACAUGCAAGUCGAACGCGAAAGUGGACUUCGGUCCGCGAGUAGAGUGGCGAACGGGUGAGUAACACGUGGGUGACCUACCCAGGAGCGGGGGACAACUUGGGGAAACUCGAGCUAAUACCGCAUACGUUCCGUGAGUUACGACUCACGGAGGAAAGAUGGCCUCUGAUUCAAGCUGUCACUCCUGGAUGGGCCCGCGUCCGAUUAGCUUGUUGGUGGGGUAACGGCCUACCAAGGCGACGAUCGGUAGCCGGCCUGAGAGGGUGAUCGGCCACACUGGAACUGAGACACGGUCCAGACUCCUACGGGAGGCAGCAGUCGGGAAUAUUGCGCAAUGGGCGAAAGCCUGACGCAGCAACGCCGCGUGAAGGAUGAAGGCCUUCGGGUCGUAAACUUCUGUUCAGGAGGGAAGAAGGUUUAUCGGUUAAUAACCGGUAAGCUUGACGGUACCUCCAGAGGAAGCCCUGGCUAACUCCGUGCCAGCAGCCGC